Molecule: ribosomal RNA, 253 nt
Filed under: uncultured bacterium
Lineage: Bacteria
Description: partial 16S ribosomal RNA
Rfam family: Bacterial small subunit ribosomal RNA
Source: RNAcentral
UACGUAGGGUGCAAGCGUUGUCCGGAAUUAUUGGGCGUAAAGAGCUCGUAGGCGGCUUGUCGCGUCGGCUGUGAAAACCCGGGGCUCAACUCCGGGCUUGCAUUCGAUACGGGCAGGCUAGAGUUCGGUAGGGGAGUCUGGAAUUCCUGGUGUAGCGGUGAAAUGCGCAGAUAUCAGGAGGAACACCAAUGGCGAAGGCAGCUCGCUGGGACGGUACUGACGCUGAGACGCGAAAGCGUGGGGAGCAAACAGG